GGCGUGCCUAAUACAUGCAAGUCGAACGAACUCUGGUAUUGAUUGGUGCUUGCAUCAUGAUUUACAUUUGAGUGAGUGGCGAACUGGUGAGUAACACGUGGGAAACCUGCCCAGAAGCGGGGGAUAACACCUGGAAACAGAUGCUAAUACCGCAUAACAACUUGGACCGCAUGGUCCGAGYUUGAAAGAUGGCUUCGGCUAUCACUUUUGGAUGGUCCCGCGGCGUAUUAGCUAGAUGGUGGGGUAACGGCUCACCAUGGCAAUGAUACGUAGCCGACCUGAGAGGGUAAUCGGCCACAUUGGGACUGAGACACGGCCCAAACUCCUACGGGAGGCAGCAGUAGGGAAUCUUCCACAAUGGACGAAAGUCUGAUGGAGCAACGCCGCGUGAGUGAAGAAGGGUUUCGGCUCGUAAAACUCUGUUGUUAAAGAAGAACAUAUCUGAGAGUAACUGUUCAGGUAUUGACGGUAUUUAACCAGAAAGCCACGGCUAACUACGUGCCAGCAGCCGCGGUAAUACGUAGGUGGCAAGCGUUGUCCGGAUUUAUUGGGCGUAAAGCGAGCGCAGGCGGUUUUUUAAGUCUGAUGUGAAAGCCUUCGGCUCAACCGAAGAAGUGCAUCGGAAACUGGGAAACUUGAGUGCAGAAGAGGACAGUGGAACUCCAUGUGUAGCGGUGAAAUGCGUAGAUAUAUGGAAGAACACCAGUGGCGAAGGCGGCUGUCUGGUCUGUAACUGACGCUGAGGCUCGAAAGUAUGGGUAGCAAACAGGAUUAGAUACCCUGGUAGUCCAUACCGUAAACGAUGAAUGCUAAGUGUUGGAGGGUUUCCGCCCUUCAGUGCUGCAGCUAACGCAUUAAGCAUUCCGCCUGGGGAGUACGGCCGCAAGGCUGAAACUCAAAGGAAUUGACGGGGGCCCGCACAAGCGGUGGAGCAUGUGGUUUAAUUCGAAGCUACGCGAAGAACCUUACCAGGUCUUGACAUACUAUGCAAAUCUAAGAGAUUAGACGUUCCCUUCGGGGACAUGGAUACAGGUGGUGCAUGGUUGUCGUCAGCUCGUGUCGUGAGAUGUUGGGUUAAGUCCCGCAACGAGCGCAACCCUUAUUAUCAGUUGCCAGCAUUAAGUUGGGCACUCUGGUGAGACUGCCGGUGACAAACCGGAGGAAGGUGGGGAUGACGUCAAAUCAUCAUGCCCCUUAUGACCUGGGCUACACACGUGCUACAAUGGAUGGUACAACGAGUUGCGAACUCGCGAGAGUAAGCUAAUCUCUUAAAGCCAUUCUCAGUUCGGAUUGUAGGCUGCAACUCGCCUACAUGAAGUCGGAAUCGCUAGUAAUCGCGGAUCAGCAUGCCGCGGUGAAUACGUUCCCGGGCCUUGUACACACCGCCCGUCACACCAUGAGAGUUUGUAACACCCAAAGUCGGUGGGGUAACCUUUUAGGAACCAGCCGCCUAAGGUGGGACAGAUGAUUAGGGUGAAGUCGUAACAAGGUAGCCGUAGGAGAACC
This 1506-nucleotide ribosomal RNA is filed under the name rumen bacterium 7/94-25. RNAcentral describes it as "16S ribosomal RNA". It matches the Rfam family "Bacterial small subunit ribosomal RNA". The record is from RNAcentral.